GGCGACGAGACGCUGUGUUCUGAAGUGCGACUCAAAAGCAAACUUUUUUCAUCUGCCCAAGGAUGAGCAUUUGAAGACUAAGUGGCUACAAUUCAUAUAUACAACUGUACCACAGAAGUAUAGUUCGAGCCUUGUGCUUUGUUCACGCCAUUUUGAAGACGAUUGCUUUACCAACUUAAAUGCAAUCAAACUUGGAUUCGCGAGCCGGCUGAUAUUGAAGGAAGGUUCAGUUCCAAGUGUAUUUGCAUCAGCGUCCUCCUCCGUAUCACAACCUAUUGAAAACAGUCCCAUGGCCAGUGACUAUAUCCACCCUAAGGCCAGGAGAUGGAAAAUGAGAAAAUGACACUUGUGAAGACCUGGCCUUGGAUGACUGAUUAGAAGUGACUCAUUGACAGCAUGAGCUGUCAUGCUCAUUUGUAAUAAGCCUGGAAAAAGGACAGAGGAGAGGUAGCGGAAACAAAAAGGGAGC
Molecule: long non-coding RNA, 469 nt
Organism: Cyprinus carpio carpio
Lineage: Eukaryota; Metazoa; Chordata; Actinopteri; Cypriniformes; Cyprinidae
Source: Ensembl